Molecule: transfer RNA, 74 nt
Filed under: Dracunculus vulgaris
Lineage: Eukaryota; Viridiplantae; Streptophyta; Magnoliopsida; Alismatales; Araceae
Description: partial tRNA-Leu
Rfam family: tRNA
About the family: Transfer RNA (tRNA) molecules are approximately 80 nucleotides in length. Their secondary structure includes four short double-helical elements and three loops (D, anti-codon, and T loops). Further hydrogen bonds mediate the characteristic L-shaped molecular structure. tRNAs have two regions of fundamental functional importance: the anti-codon, which is responsible for specific mRNA codon recognition, and the 3' end, to which the tRNAs corresponding amino acid is attached (by aminoacyl-tRNA synthetases). tRNAs cope with the degeneracy of the genetic code in two manners: having more than one tRNA (with a specific anti-codon) for a particular amino acid; and 'wobble' base-pairing, i.e. permitting non-standard base-pairing at the 3rd anti-codon position.
Source: RNAcentral
CGAAAUCGGUAGACGCUACGGACUUAAAAUCCGUCGACUUYAGAAAUCGUGAGGGUUCAAGUCCCUCUAUCCCC